RNAcentral lists this long non-coding RNA (5503 nucleotides) under Sus scrofa (pig). RNAcentral describes it as "lncRNA (ENSSSCG00015077548.1)". The record is from RNAcentral. Lineage: Eukaryota; Metazoa; Chordata; Mammalia; Artiodactyla; Suidae.
UUUUUUUUUUUUUUUUUAAACCCUAGAAGUGUUUAAUGAGUUGUCCCUUAUAAAGGUUUACGGCCCAAAUUUAUACUACUUGUGUGAUCCAAAAUACUGCAAGUGGGAAUUAAAUUUACAGUGGAUCCCAGUAGGUGGUAACCCCCAGAUAACCGGCAGAAGCAAACAUGAAUUCUCUCUGGAGGAAUGAAACUUCAGUCUAGGUAUCAAAAAACUCCCACUGAUAAAGUUAUAAAGAAUAUGGAUAACUCAUAAUUAAAAACCACAAACCAAAGAAGGAAAUAAAGAUACCAUGAGUGCAAGUCAUCAGAAAAGACAUACAGGAGAAUCAGACUAUCAAACACUUUAGAUGUUAUAAAGAAUAUGGAUAACUCAUAAUUAAAAACCACAAACCAAAGAAGGAAAUAAAGAUACCAUGAUGCAAGUUAUCAGAAAAGACAUACAGGAGAAUCAGACUAUCAAACACUUUAGAUGUUUACACACGGAAUAUAAACUACAUGUUUCAAAUAUAUUUCAAGAAAUAAAAGAGGGACUUCAAAAUACCAAGCAACAAAAGCAUAUACUUUUGAAAGUGGUUGAUGAGAGUUAAUGUGUCCUGGCAUCCUUUAAUUAUUCAAGAGGAGAGUAAAGAGUCUUAUUAAUGUAGGACUUUAGGUAAGUAGACAUGUUACAAUGUUUGGAACAACUGUUAAAAGAAUAAAUAUAGAGAGUAUGGCAUUUAAGCUAAUAUGAGGAAAAUGGAAUGAUAAACUAGAAAGCUGAGAAAAAUAGUAAUGCAUAAAUGAAUUAAACUCUCCAGUUGAAAGAUAAAGCCUGUAAUACUGGAUUUUAAAAAUGCAGCUAUAUGCUAGUUUUAAAUGACAUAUCUAAAUCUUUAAAGAAAGAUUGAAAAGGAAAAAAAUAUAUAAGAGGCAGAUAUCAGAGAAAGUAAGGAUAUCUCUACAAAAUAAUAAAUGGUUCAAUUACUAAUAAACAGUUCAAUUUGUUAGGGUGAUUUACUAAUUCUCAACUAAGCUUAAUAAUAUAGCCUCAAGAUACAUAAGCAGAACUAAGUUUAAAAUGUCAGUAACUGACAUGACAAAUGGACAGAAAUGGUGGUCAAUAAAGAAUAUUUAUAUGGCAAAAUAAAUAAGCUUGGUACAAUGACAUAAAUAGAACAUUACACCCAAGAAUAUGAACAAUUACACAUUAUUUUCAAGCACAGAUUGAAAAUUGACUCUUAGGCCAUAAAGCAAACCUUAGUAAAUUCCAAAGAUUAGAAUCAGCUAGAUCACACACUUGCCAAUCAUAAUGAAAGUUAAUUAAAAAGUCAAGAAAAUUUUUUCUAAUGCAUUUGGAAAUUUAUUAACGUAUAUAAACCAAAGAAUCAAUGAAAAAAUCCUAAUGGAUAUUAGAAAAUACUUAGGACUGAAUUACAUAAAAAUCCUAUGCAUUAAUACUCUUGGGAUACAGCUAAAGGGAUAGUUAGGGGAAAAUUUAUGGUCUGAAAUGUUUUGAGUCCAAGAAGAAGAAAAGACUGAAAUUUUAUGAGGUAAGCAUAAAAGAACAACAUUAUUCUUCCAGAGAAGGAAAGGCAAAAAAGUAAUAAAAUAAUAGUGAUGAGAUCAGGAUUUAAUGAUACAGAAAAUGAACAUAUAAUUGAGAGAUCAACAAAGCUAGAAAUUAAGACAAAUAGGCAAAUCUAACAUUAUUAAACAAGAAAAAAUAGGGAAGGCACAAAAAUAUUAGGAAUCAAAGCGUAUGUAAUUAUAGAUUCAGAGAUUUGAAAGUUAAUAAAGUAAUAAGUAUGAACAACUUUGGCCAAUAAAUCUGAAAGUUUAGACAAAAUGGACACAUAUCUAGAAAGAUAUGAUUAGUCCUGUAACAUUAAACAAGUCUAGUAAAUAGUUUAAAAUCCAAGACUGCAUAUUCUUUGUAGAAAGAUUUUGUGUGAUCCGUUGAAAAUGCUGGAAAUGUCUAGCUCCUUCUGGAUCCCGGCAUGUUGAUGGUUUAAAGUUCAUUUGGAAGAAUAAAUGAUCAAGACUAGCUCAAGAAAACCCAAAAAAAGAGAGCACUUGGGAAAGGGAGGGUAUUAAAACAUAAAGCCUCUAAAAUGAAAAUGUGGUUUAGGCACAUGAAUGGGCCAAUGGGACACAAUAGAAAAUUCAGAAAUAGACCCAACUGCAUAUGAAAAUUCAAGAUACAAUAAAGAUUGUGACUUCAAAAACACACACCUAAGUCAGCAGAACAUAAAUAGAAAGCCCAGAAAUAAACCCACAUGCCUGUGGUCAUUUAACCUACAACAAAGCAGGCAAGGAUAUACAAUGAAGAGAAGACAGUCCCUUCAAUAAGCAGUGCUGGGAAAACUGGGCUAUUCCCUGUAAAACAAUGAGAUUAGAAUAUUUCCUCACACCACACACAAAAAUAAACUCAAAAUGGAUCUACGACCUGAAACCAUAAAACUAGAAGAGAAUUUUUUUGGGUCUGUCUCCAAAAGAAAUAAAAGCAGAAAUAAACAAAUAGGACCUAAUUAAGCCUAAAAGCUUUUGCACAGCAAAGGAAACCUUCGGUAAAAGGAAAAGACAACCUACUGAAUGGGAGAAAAUGUUUGCAAAUGAUGUGAUUGAUAAAGGGGUAAUAUCCAAAAUAUAUAAGACAGCUUAUACAACUCAACAUCAAAAAACAAACAAUCCAAUUAAGAAAUGGGCAGAAGACAUAUAGGUGGCCAACAGGUACAUGAAAAGAUGUCCAACAUCAUUCAUCAUCAGAAAAAUGCAAAUUAAAAACACAAUUAGCCAUCACCUCACACAUAUCAGAAUGGCUAUCAUCAAAAAGAACACAAAUAACAAAUUUUGGGCAAGGAUUGGAGAAAAGGGAAUCUUCCUAAACUGAUGGUAGGAAUGAAAAUUAGUGCAGCCACUGUGGAAAGCAGUAUGGAGGUUUCUCAAAAAAAGUAAAAAUGGAACUAGCAUGGGACCUGGCACCUUCCACUCCCAGGCAAAUAUCUGAAAAAAAGUGAAACCACUAAUUGAAAAAGAUUCAUGCACCCCCAAUGUUCAAAGGAACAUUAUUCACAGUUGCCAAGAUAAUGGCAGCAACCUUAAUGUUCACCAACAGAUGAAUGGAUUAAGAUGUGGUACACAACACACAAUGAAAUUCUUCUCAGCCAUAAAAAGAAAGAAAUUUUGUCAUUUGCAGCAACAUGGAUUGACUUGGGAUUAUGCUAAGGGAAAUAAGUCAGAGAGAGAAAGACAAAUACCGUAUGAUGUGGAACUUAAAAAACACAACAAACUAGUAAAUAAACACACAAAACCAGACUCACAGAUAUAGAGAACUGAUUAGUGGUUACCAGUGGAGGGGGUAGGAGAUUAAGAGACAUAAAGUGUAUAAAGGAUAUAUUUUGCAGCACAGAGAACAUAGCCUGUAGUUUGUAAUAACUAUAAAUAGAACAUAAACUUUAGAAAUGGUGAGACCAUGAUGGAAGAUAAUAUGAGAAAAAGAAUAUAUAUAUGAAUGAUUAGGUCACUUUGCUAUACAGCAGAAAUUGGCAGAACAUUGUAAAUCAACUAUACUUUAGAAUUUUUUAAAAAAGAAAUUGUGAAUAUAUUGUCCACCCAAAAUUUAUAUAAUAUUGUUUAUCAGCUAAACCUCAAACAAACAAAAAACCCCCCAAAAACCCGCUCAAAGAACUAAAAAUAGAACUACCAUAUGACACAAGAAUUCCAUUCCUGAGUAUAUAUCCAAAAAACCCAAAAACACUAAUUUGAAAAGACGCAUGAAAUGUUCACAGCAACAUUAUUUACAAUAGCCAAGAUGUGGAAGCAACUUGAGUGUCCAUCAACAGAUGAAGGACCUCUCUAUAUAUCCACACUGGAGUAUCACUCAGCCAUAAAAAGAAAUGAAAUUCUGCAAUUUGCAACAAGUGGAUGGGCCUAGAGAGUAUUACGCUUAGUGAAAUAAGUCAGAGGGAGACAAAAUUAUGUUAUCACUUAUAUGUAGAAUCUAAAAAAUACAUGAAUGUACAUAAUGAAACAGAACCACAGAUAUAGAAAAGAAACUGGUAGAUACCAAUGGAGAGAGAGAAGGGGGAAUUAUGAGAUACAAAUUAUUACAUAUAAAAUAGAUAAGCAAUAAGAAUAUAUUGCAUAGCACAGGGAAUGUAUAGCCAUUAUGUUGUUAUAACUUUUUUUUUUUUUUUGUCUUUUUUGCCUUUUCUAGGGCCGCAGCCAUAGCAUAUGGAGGUUCCCAGGCUAGGGGGUCGAGUCAGCUGUAGCCACCCACCUAUGCCAGAGCCACAGCAACGACGGAUCCUUCACCCACGGAGCAAGGCCAGGGAUCAAAACUGCAACCUCUAACGAUCCGGCGUUGCUGUGAGCUGCGGUGUAGGAUGCAGACACGGCUCGGAUCCCGCAUUGCUGUGGCUCUGGCAUAGCAGCUCCGAUUCGACCCCUAGCCUGGGAACCUCCAUAUGGCGCGGGAGCGGCCCAAAGAAAUAGCGAAAAGAUAAAAAACAAAACAAAACUGCAACCUCAUGGUUCCUCGUCAGAUUCAUUAACCACUGCGCCACGAUGGGAACUCCUAUUUUGUUAUAACUUUAAAUGGAGUAUAAUCUAUACAAGUAUUGAAUUGCUGUGCUGUAUACCUGAAAUAUAAUAUUGUAAAUCAACGAUACCUCAAGGAAAAAAAAAAAAAAAAAGGUGGUGCCUUAAGUCAGUCGGGGGAAAAGAUGGACUAUAAAAAUGAAUGGUAUUGGUAUCACUGGAUACCCAUACAGAAAAUGAAAAAAAGAUCUGUUCCUAACAAUAUGUGCCAAGAUAAUUUUCAAAUUGAGUAGAGAUUUAGAUGUACAAUAUUAAACCAUACAAUGACUGGAAAAAAGUAAGAUGAAUUCCUCAGUAGACCAGCUUGUCCAAACCUGUGAGUCUACUUUUAGGCUGUGGGAGAUAAGAAUUUUUUUCACCUUUGAAGGAUUUAAUAAACUAGGAGGAGGAAAAGGACAUGAACAAAAUUGGUUGUAAACCCUAAAAUAUUUGCUGAAAUAUUUUUAUUUUUAACGGUUGUCAGCCCCUACUAUGUGACUUGGGAGUGAGGAAAACUUCCUAACGGUACUGGUUAGUUAUUGCAUGAAAACGCCACUGAGGCAGCUCUGCUCCACGUGUCUUUCAGUUCUCUUGGACCAGUAGGAAACUAUUUUCCACCCCUUUGGUGAAAGAGAUUAUAAAUUAACAUGGCAAAGGAUGGGAAUACAGAGAAGGGUGAAGAUUUAAGGCCAGUAAAGUAAUUCUCCAGACUAAGUAUGACUUGAAACUCCAGAUACAACAGAGAGAUCGUUGACUAUGCCAAAAACAAACAAACCAACCAACCCACCAACAAACAAAAAGACACCUUUUGCAUCCCAAAUAUACCAAAGUAAAAUACAACAGAUAACUGGGAAAACGUACUUUCAAUUUAUUUCACAAAUUAACAGCUUCUAAAAAUAGAGAAGGUCCUAUGGGAAACUAGGGAAAGGAGAUGAAGACUGUUC